GGACCUGUAGCCUAGUCUGGCAACCUUUUGCAAAAAGCUUGGACAAAAGCAUGUGGCAUAAAACCACAUAGGUUGGACAAAUAAGGCAUCAGCCUCCUAAGCUGAAGAUCGGGGGUUCGAGUCCCCCCAGGUCCG
This 135-nucleotide transfer RNA is filed under the name Nanobdellota archaeon. RNAcentral's name for it is "tRNA-Arg". It matches the Rfam family "tRNA". From Rfam's summary of the family: Transfer RNA (tRNA) molecules are approximately 80 nucleotides in length. The record is from RNAcentral. RNAcentral also lists the same sequence under 1 other name. Lineage: Archaea; Nanobdellati; Nanobdellota.